Molecule: long non-coding RNA, 301 nt
Filed under: Amborella trichopoda
Lineage: Eukaryota; Viridiplantae; Streptophyta; Magnoliopsida; Amborellales; Amborellaceae
Description: long non-coding RNA (ATRI_LNC001240)
Source: RNAcentral
UAAAUUUGAGCCCAAAAUAUUUGAUUGGUUAUUUUUGAAAUGUUAUAGAGAGUGACUGUUAUUAAUGGUUUAAGUGAAAUUCAUAUUAAUGAUUUCAGUGAUAUGUUGAGUACAUGAUAUUGCUGCUUUCGAAUGUUUAAAGAGAUUUAGAAAUAAUUUAAGUAUGCAAGUGGACUCAUCCGGUUUGCCGGUGAGGUAUAAGUGGACCUAUCUGGGACGCCAGUAGGGAUUAAGUGGACUCAUCCGGUACGCCGGUGAGGUAUAAGUGGACCUGCAGGGAUUAAGUGGACCUAUCUGGGAC